CCUACAGCCCUCACCAUGCAGUCUGCCCUCAGUCUGCUUUCCAUUCUCACCCUGCUAAGAGGUGUCCAGGGUGAUGCCCAGUUGGUGGAGUCCGGGGGAGACGUGAGACAGCCUGGGGGGUCUCUGCGCCUCUCCUGUAAAGCCUCCGGAUUCACCUUCAGCAACUAUCACAUGAGCUGGAUCCGCCAGGCUCCAGGGAAGGGGCUCGAGUGGGUCGCUCUGAUUUAUACUGAUGGGAGCGGCACCUACUAUGCAGAUUCUGUGAAAGGCCGAUUGACCAUCUCUAGGGACAACGCCAACAGCCUGGUGUAUCUGCAGAUGAACAGCCUGAAAACUGAGGACACCGCCCUGUAUUACUGUGCAAGAGACCCAGUGAGACAAACCACAUCCUGA
Tachyglossus aculeatus (Australian echidna) is the source of this 393-nucleotide non-coding RNA. The record is from the annotation of a RefSeq genome assembly. NCBI's taxonomy places the organism in Eukaryota, Metazoa, Chordata, Mammalia, Monotremata, Tachyglossidae.